AUUGAACGCUGGCGGCAUGCCUUACACAUGCAAGUCGAACGGCAGCACGGGAGCAAUCCUGGUGGCGAGUGGCGAACGGGUGAGUAAAGUAUCGGAACGUGCCCAGUCGUGGGGGAUAACGUAGCGAAAGUUACGCUAAUACCGCAUACGAUCUAUGGAUGAAAGCGGGGGAUCGCAAGACCUCGCGCGAUUGGAGCGGCCGAUAUUAGAUUAGGUAGUUGGUGGGGUAAAGGCUCACCAAGCCGACGAUCUGUAGCUGGUCUGAGAGGACGACCAGCCACACUGGGACUGAGACACAGCCCAGACUCCUACGGGAGGCAGCAGUGGGGAAUUUUGGACAAUGGGCGAAAGCCUGAUCCAGCCAUGCCGCGUGCAGGAUGAAGGCCUUCGGGUUGUAAACUGCUUUUGUACGGAACGAAAAGGUUUGGCCUAAUAAGCUGAGCUCAUGACGGUACCGUAAGAAUAAGCACCGGCUAACUACGUGCCAGCCGCCGCGGUAA
Molecule: ribosomal RNA, 500 nt
Filed under: uncultured bacterium
Lineage: Bacteria
Description: partial 16S ribosomal RNA
Rfam family: Bacterial small subunit ribosomal RNA
Source: RNAcentral